RNAcentral lists this long non-coding RNA (557 nucleotides) under Homo sapiens (human). Its description in RNAcentral is "HSALNT0374380". The record is from RNAcentral. Lineage: Eukaryota; Metazoa; Chordata; Mammalia; Primates; Hominidae.
CUUGAAGUUAGUGAGACCAAGAAUCCACCAAUUCCGGACACAGUCUGUUACAAGAGUGAGGCCAUCUGAAAGGUAACAAUCAACUUUCAGAAGAUAUGUAUCCAAGUGGGCUACUUCCAAUGUCUAUGAGAAGUACCUGCACUUAAGAGUCUGCUAUUGCCUUAGGUACUGUUUGCACCGCCCCCACCCCUCCAAAAAAAAACAACAAACAAGGACGGCUUCUCUAGUGCUUGCCACCUUUGUCAAAGCACCUGACACCACUGUCAAAGCACCCAGAGCCAGCAGAGCUACCUCACCUGACAGUUAUCUCCCUAGGGCCUGAGAAAUGGCCUACCUGGUGGCCCCCAAGCUCACUGAACUAGGCCAAUGACUCCACAAAUGCCCACAGUCUAAGCCACUGAGCGACAUGCAGACAUCAUUGAGACUAAUUUUUUUAAAUAUCAUGGAUUAAAAAGGCAUUCCAUUCCAAUUAAAACCAAAAUCAAGCAGGAGUAGCUAUACUUAGAUAAAAUAGACUUAAGUAAAAAACUGUAAAAUGGGUCAAAGAAGGUCAUUAU